RNAcentral lists this ribosomal RNA (456 nucleotides) under Diastyloides serratus. RNAcentral's name for it is "partial large subunit ribosomal RNA". It matches the Rfam family "Bacterial large subunit ribosomal RNA", at positions 1826 to 2561 of the family's 2925-position model. The record is from RNAcentral. Lineage: Eukaryota; Metazoa; Arthropoda; Malacostraca; Cumacea; Diastylidae.
AAACAUGUCUUUAUGCUUUAUAUAAAGUCAUGCCUGCACACUGAGUGCUUAAAGAGCUGCAGUAUUCUAACUGUACUAAGGUAGCAUAAUAGAUUGUUUUUUAAAAGGAGACUUGAAUGAAAGGUUUGAUACUGGUAGUCUUUCUUUUAGUUUUAAGCAAAGUUAAUUUUUCGAUUAAAAAUUAGAGAUGUGUUUAGGGGACGAGAAGACCCUGUAAAAUUUAUUUGUGUUUAUGUUGGUUAGGUUUAGUUAAUAGGUAUAAAUUUGUUGGGGUGAUUAUUAUAAAAUUAGUAACUGUAAUUAAUUGGUCUUUUAUAGAAGAUUUUUUUGCCCCUGUAAAAAGGAUCAAAAGAUUAAAUUACUUCAGGGAUAACAGCGUUAUUUUUUCAAGAGUUCUAAUCAAAGAAGAAGAUUGCGACCUCGAUGUUGAAUUAAAGAGUCUAUUAGGUGUAGCAG